ACGGCCGCGGUACCCUAACCGUGCGAAGGUAGCAUAAUCACUUGUUCUUUAAAUGAGGACUAGUAUCAACGGCAUCACGAGGAUCCUACUGUCUCCCCCCUCCAGUCAGUGAAACUGAUCUCUCCGUGAAGAAGCGGAGAUACGCAUAUAAGACGAGAAGACCCCAUGGAGCUUUAAACCCAACAACACCCGCCUCCCUUAAACCCUAUUAUCAGCCCGGCGAUUGUUUGCUUGGUUUUAGGUUGGGGUGACCACGGAGUACAAAACAUCCUCCAUGAAAAAAAGCUAACUGCCCUUAUUAGAGAAAGACAUUUCCAAAAAAUAACAAAUUAAUUUUUAAUGACCCGAUAUUCGAUCAACGAACCAAGUUACCCUGGGGAUAACAGCGCAAUCCGCCCCGAGAGCCCCUAUCGACAGGCGGGUUUACGACCUCGAUGUUGGAUCAGGGUAUCCUAGUGGUGCAGCAGCUACUAACGGUUCGUUUGUUCAACGAUUAAAACCCU
RNAcentral lists this ribosomal RNA (503 nucleotides) under Boophis roseipalmatus. RNAcentral's name for it is "partial 16S ribosomal RNA". It matches the Rfam family "Bacterial large subunit ribosomal RNA", at positions 1927 to 2597 of the family's 2925-position model. Lineage: Eukaryota; Metazoa; Chordata; Amphibia; Anura; Mantellidae. The record is from RNAcentral.